CACCACUGAACUGACAUGCCCAGCCCU
This 27-nucleotide non-coding RNA is filed under the name Mus musculus (house mouse). Lineage: Eukaryota; Metazoa; Chordata; Mammalia; Rodentia; Muridae. The record is from RNAcentral.